UGGGCAACCUGCCUGUAAGACUGGGAUAACUUCUUGGAAACCGAAGCUAAUACCGGAUAGGAUCUUCUCCUUCAUGGGAGAUGAUUGAAAGAUGGUUUCGGCUAUCACUUACAGAUGGGCCCGCGGUGCAUUAGCUAGUUGGUGAGGUAACGGCUCACCAAGGCAACGAUGCAUAGCCGACCUGAGAGGGUGAUCGGCCACACUGGGACUGAGACACGGCCCAGACUCCUACGGGAGGCAGCAGUAGGGAAUCUUCCGCAAUGGACGAAAGUCUGACGGAGCAACGCCGCGUGAGUGAUGAAGGCUUUCGGGUCGUAAAACUCUGUUGUUAGGGAAGAACAAGUACGAGAGUAACUGCUCGUACCUUGACGGUACCUAACCAGAAAGCCACGGCUAACUACGUGCCAGCAGCCGCGGUAAUACGUAGGUGGCAAGCGUUAUCCGGAAUUAUUGGGCGUAAAGCGCGCGCAGGCGGUUUCUUAAGUCUGAUGUGAAAGCCCACGGCUCAACCGUGGAGGGUCAUUGGAAACUGGGGAACUUGAGUGCAGAAGAGAAAAGCGGAAUUCCACGUGUAGCGGUGAAAUGCGUAGAGAUGUGGAGGAACACCAGUGGCGAAGGCGGCUUUUUGGUCUGUAACUGACGCUGAGGCGCGAAAGCGUGGGGAGCAAACAGGAUUAGAUACCCUGGUAGUCCACGCCGUAAACGAUGAGUGCUAAGUGUUAGAGGGUUUCCGCCCUUUAGUGCUGCAGCUAACGCAUUAAGCACUCCGCCUGGGGAGUACGGUCGCAAGACUGAAACUCAAAGGAAUUGACGGGGGCCCGCACAAGCGGUGGAGCAUGUUGUUUAAUUCGAAGCACGGCGAAGAACCUUACCAGGUCUUGACAUCCUCUGACAACUCUAGAGAUAGAGCGUUCCCUUCGGGGGACAGAGUGACAGGUGGUGCAUGGUUGUUCUUCAGCUCCUGUCCUUAGAAUGUUGAGUUAAGUCCCGCCACGAGCGCAACCCUGGAUCUUUAUUUGCCAGCAUUUAUUUUGGCACUCUAAGGUGACCGCCGGUGACAAACCGGAGAAAGGUGGAAAUAGAGCUCAAAUCAUCCUGCCCCCUUAUUGAACCCGGGCUACCCAACGUG
RNAcentral lists this ribosomal RNA (1129 nucleotides) under Bacillus sp. WBUT_C05. RNAcentral's name for it is "bacterial SSU rRNA". It matches the Rfam family "Bacterial small subunit ribosomal RNA", at positions 118 to 1224 of the family's 1533-position model. Lineage: Bacteria; Bacillati; Bacillota; Bacilli; Caryophanales; Bacillaceae. The record is from RNAcentral.